This 253-nucleotide ribosomal RNA is filed under the name uncultured bacterium. RNAcentral's name for it is "partial 16S ribosomal RNA". It matches the Rfam family "Bacterial small subunit ribosomal RNA", at positions 524 to 776 of the family's 1533-position model. The record is from RNAcentral.
UACAGAGGGGGCAAGCGUUGUUCGGAAUUACUGGGCGUAAAGGGCGCGUAGGCGGCCUUCUAAGUCGAACGUGAAAUCCCCGGGCUCAACCCGGGAACUGCGUCCGAUACUGGAAGGCUUGAAUCCGGGAGAGGGAUGCGGAAUUCCAGGUGUAGCGGUGAAAUGCGUAGAUAUUGGGAAGAACACCGGUGGCGAAGGCGGCGCUCUGGACCGAGACUGACGCUGAGGCGCGAAAGCGUGGGGAGCAAACAGG